RNAcentral lists this ribosomal RNA (397 nucleotides) under uncultured bacterium. Its description in RNAcentral is "bacterial SSU rRNA". It matches the Rfam family "Bacterial small subunit ribosomal RNA", at positions 29 to 416 of the family's 1533-position model. The record is from RNAcentral.
AGCGAACGCUGGCGGUAUGCUUAACACAUGCAAGUCGAGCGCGAAAGUGACUUCGGUCAUGAGUAGAGCGGCGGACGGGUGAGUAACACGUGGAUAAUCUGCCUUUAGGACUGGGAUAACCCUGGGAAACUAGGGCUAAUACCGGAUAAGACCACAGGUUCCAUGGAACCAGGGGUAAAAGGCGGCCUUCGGGCUGUCGCCGAAAGAUGAGUCCGCGUCCCAUCAGGUAGUUGGUGAGGAACGGCUCACCAAGCCGAAGACGGGUAGCCGACCUUAGCGGGUGAUCGGCCACACGGGGACUGAGACACGGCCCCGACUCCUACGGGAGGCAGCAGUGGGGAAUCUUGGGCAAUGGGCGCAAGCCUGACCCAGCAAUACCGCGUGAGGGAUGAAGGCC